This 558-nucleotide long non-coding RNA is filed under the name Pongo abelii (Sumatran orangutan). Its description in RNAcentral is "lincRNA". Lineage: Eukaryota; Metazoa; Chordata; Mammalia; Primates; Hominidae. The record is from RNAcentral.
AGGCUCCCCAUCCUUCGUCUUAGUCCCCGCGAGGGUGAUGCAACCUUUGCCAUCCUGAGGUUGCGAGGCUGCCGAGGCCGCCUUCUGCGCGGGAGGACUGACCCCUGGCGGCCGACGCAGACAUUGCGGGCUUGGUGCUUGGACUCAACUUCUGAGCUGUGUUGCAUCAGCCAACGGGGCCUACGGAAGCUGAAUAAUGCCGCAGGCUUUCCGCCACCCUGCGGGCCGGGGAGUUGGGAGGCGUGGCGGGUGGGGUGAGGGGUCCGAGUCCCAUGGUCUAGGACGUUCAUUUCUCCGAGGCUCGGUCUCUCCUCUGGUGGGACCAUGUCUCGAAGAGGCCCUGGCUUGGCUCCUGGAGCUGGUGGCGGCCAGAGCACCAGGAAGAUCAAGGAGCCAGGGCCACCCUCACGUUUCCUUGGCAACAGCAUCCGUGAUCAGACUCUAAGGCAACUGGGACCCAUGCGUGCUCCCAGGGGGAGGCUGCAGGUUCACGUCGGUGUCCAGUGAUAAAGAAGACAUGGAUACAGCAAGAAGGAAGGAGGCCCUGUGCAUGACACU